This 86-nucleotide small nucleolar RNA is filed under the name Parasitella parasitica. Lineage: Eukaryota; Fungi; Mucoromycota; Mucoromycetes; Mucorales; Mucoraceae. The record is from RNAcentral.
ACAUGAUGAUCCCAAAUAGAUGACGAGUCUGAAGAGUCAUUCGAUGUCGAAACAACUUUUUUAAUUCCAUUCAUGCUUUUCUGAAA